GUUGAACGCUGGCGGAAUGCUUUACACAUGCAAGUCGAACGGUAGAGGGGGCAACCCCUCGAGAGUGGCGAACGGGUGAGUAAUAUAGCGGAACGUGCCCAGCCGUGGGGGAUAACGUAGCGAAAGUUACGCUAAUACCGCAUACGAUCUACGGAUGAAAGCGGGGGAUCGCAAGAACUCGCGCGAUUGGAGCGGGCGAUAUCAGACUAGGUAGUUGGUGGGGUAAAGGCUGACCAAGCCAACGAUCUGUAGCUGGUCUGAGAGGACGACCAGCCACACUGGAACUGAGACGCGGUCAAGACUCCUACGGGAGGCAGCAGUGGGGAAUUUUGGACAAUGGACGCAAGUCUGAUCCAGCCAUUCCGCGUGCAGGAUGAAGGCCCUCGGGUUGUAAACUGCUUUUGUACGGAACGAAAAGGUUUCCAUUAAUACUGGGAGCUCAUGACGGUACCGUAAGAAUAAGCACCGGCUAACUACGUGCCAGCCGCCGCUGUAA
Molecule: ribosomal RNA, 496 nt
Filed under: uncultured bacterium
Lineage: Bacteria
Description: partial 16S ribosomal RNA
Rfam family: Bacterial small subunit ribosomal RNA
Source: RNAcentral